UUUAGAUUUUGAUCCUGCCUCAGAUGAACCGCGGGGCGGCAGGCCUAACACAUGCAAGUCGAGCGGAAAACGAUGGGAGCUUUGCUCCCAGGCGUCGAGCGGCGGACGGGUGAGUAAUGCAUAGGAAUCUGCCCCGGUAGUGGGGGAUAACCUGGGGAAACUCAGGCUAAUACCGCAUACGCCCCACGGGGGAAAGCAGGGGAUCCGUGUUCUUCGGAAUGGGGACCUUGCGCUAUCGGAUGAGCCUAUGUCGGAUUAGCUUGUUGGUGAGGUAAUGGCUCACCAAGGCGACGAUCCGUAGCUGGUCUGAGAGGAUGAUCAGCCACAUCGGGACUGAGACACGGCCCGAACUCCUACGGGAGGCAGCAGUGGGGAAUAUUGGACAAUGGGCGAAAGCCUGAUCCAGCCAUGCCGCGUGUGUGAAGAAGGCUUUCGGGUUGUAAAGCACUUUCAGUGAGGAAGAAGGCCUUGGGGCUAAUACCCCCGAGGAAGGACAUCACUCACAGAAGAAGC
Molecule: ribosomal RNA, 513 nt
Filed under: Halomonas sp. V3-118
Lineage: Bacteria; Pseudomonadati; Pseudomonadota; Gammaproteobacteria; Oceanospirillales; Halomonadaceae
Description: bacterial SSU rRNA
Rfam family: Bacterial small subunit ribosomal RNA
Source: RNAcentral